CCAGUCCGCGGAUUUCUGGGACUUGUAGUUCGAGGCCCGUAGGUGUAGGCGUGGGUCAGUCUCGGGAAUCCUGCGCUUCAGGUGUCGGAUUCCACGUGGGAGGUGAGACGCGCAGGACAGGCGACGCUGCGGGCAGGGAGGCGUUCUGUGGUUGGGAUGUGGGAGUGCCGCGGAGGUGGCGCAGGACCUCAGAGACCCGAAAUCCUGGCCGGCCGGCUGUGAGAGAGCGUGCGACCUGGAGGAGGACGCUGUCCUUCCAGAGAGGAGGCAAUGACCAAAUGCCAGGAGACUUGAAUGAAAAUUCUAUGGAGAAUCUUCAAGAAAAAGGACUUAGGGAUCUAUUACAUAGGGGCUUUUCUGCUGGCUAAUUUUAGAAGAUAUGACCAACACAGUAAGAGAGUCAGGAUUGUAUUGUGAAUCUUCCAGAAGAAGUGUACAGGAACCCUGAACUAGAUUUUUCCUUUUGUCAGAACUAGGGAGAAGCAUCUUCUGUAUUUCUGGAAACAAGAGCAGUGUAGUGACUCUUCAAAGUGAUGAUUACAAAAACAUAGCAAAUGAAGAAUAUUUGU
RNAcentral lists this long non-coding RNA (569 nucleotides) under Suricata suricatta (meerkat). RNAcentral describes it as "lncRNA (ENSSSUG00005004030.1)". The record is from RNAcentral. Lineage: Eukaryota; Metazoa; Chordata; Mammalia; Carnivora; Herpestidae.